AUGAGGGAGCGAGGAAAGAUUUGGUUUAAUCCUGCAGUAGAAGCCUUUGCUUAACUCUAGCAGCAAUGAGAUGCUGAAUGAAUGUAAAUAUCCACUGUGUGUGUGGUGGCUACAUGCAGCAAGAAAUGUCUCUCUUGUGAGGCUGACAAGGCUGUAAACAAGAAGAGAAGAGAAGGAAAAAAUGAGCGUGUCACUGAUGGAUAUAUUUCAGUCUAACGUUGGUCAGAUGCCACAAUCCGUCAAAGUUGAUCCUUACUGAGCACAGAGGAGCCCUGUUUGGUGCUGGAAAUCUGGCAGGACCAUCUGUUUGUUCCACCGGAUUAAAGUGUAUUCCUUUUUUCAGCAGAAACUUGGUGAAGGGGAUUCACAGGGCAGUGACCAUUUCUCACUUCCCAUGAAUGAAACUAAAAGACAGAAUGGCAUGCUCGAUUCUAAGAGAUUCAGUCAUGGCUAUAAGCAUGGAAUUACUUCAGCAGCCUUCCCAGCAACAGCCGCAUAGAGCUUUCUGUUCACUCAGAUCUCCAAUCAGAGUUCUUUAAAAGCACGCAUAUAGAUAUUUUCACUCCAGAGCUACAUCCGCAAUCUCUCUCUACUUGCUAGGUAAAAUUUCUUUUGUAUUAAAGGGAAACUAAUCAUAAAAAACAUUUCCAGGAAAUGACUUCUAAGCCAUCCAGCACAAGUAUUUCAUAGAAUAACAAAGAAGAAAUAUAAAAAAUAUAUUCAAAAAAUAAACUAUUACACAAAGAGUGGGGCUAAAUAACCUAUGAUAAUGUUACAUGGGGAGGCACAUUUAUCAAAGGUCGAAUUUUUUUUAACUGUAAUAAAUUCAAAUAUACUCGAAAUUCAA
Xenopus laevis (African clawed frog) is the source of this 847-nucleotide long non-coding RNA. RefSeq lists it as uncharacterized. The record is from RefSeq and is a predicted model, not a curated record. NCBI's taxonomy places the organism in Eukaryota, Metazoa, Chordata, Amphibia, Anura, Pipidae. The transcript is spliced from 3 exons.